GCAGCAGUAGUUCAGUGGCAGAAUUCUCAUCUUCCAUGCAGGAGACCCAGGUUUGAUUCCUGGCCAGUGCG
Molecule: transfer RNA, 71 nt
Organism: Loxodonta africana (African savanna elephant)
Lineage: Eukaryota; Metazoa; Chordata; Mammalia; Proboscidea; Elephantidae
Rfam family: tRNA
About the family: Transfer RNA (tRNA) molecules are approximately 80 nucleotides in length. Their secondary structure includes four short double-helical elements and three loops (D, anti-codon, and T loops).
Source: Rfam